GGAGAGAAAAAUUAUUAAGGGAAUGUUAUAACUCUCUCUCUCUCUGUCUGUCUCUCUCCCUCUCUCUUGCUCUGUGUGUGCUCUCUAUUUCUAUUUCUCUAACUCUCUCUAUCUGUGUGUGUGUGUGUGUGUGUGUGUGUGUGUGUGUGUGUUUGUGUGUGUGUGUGUGUGUGUGUGCAUAUUUUCAUAUUUAUAUUCUAAUAUUGGUUUGGGUAUAUGCAUGCAUGCUAUGGUGUGCUUGUGGGAGUCAGUGCCAAUCUUUAACCUCUACCUUGAUUGAGACCAUCUCUAUUGUUAUUUAUAGCCAGUCUAGCUCACUUCCAUUCCUUGCUAGCUUUUAGAGACUCUACUGUCUGCACUGUUCAUAUCAAGCUUCACCAGUUCCUUUUCAUUGCUAAGCUACAAAGGAAAAAAGACAAAGGGAGAGAAGAAAAAGAAGCCCACUUAACCAUACAGAGAAGGGGCUGGGGUUCAUCCUUCCUGUGGUAAAGUUAUUAAGGAGACUGCCCGAUGCUGAUCUGCACAGGAGCACAGGUGGCCAUCAAUAGCAACAGUAGUAAUUAGACUUGCCACGAAGAACUACCAACUAGGAGGGCAUGUAAUACAGGUUUCCCAGAUUUGACAGCUGACUUGGAAACUUCCAUCUCUUAUCUGAGGUAUUAAAUGCAUUAACUGUGAUGGAGACUCCUGAGCCUCUCCAGUGCAAACUUCCUGCAGGAAGGAACUUUGGAACCUAGCUGCAGCUAGAAAGCAACCUCCAGGCUGGACAAGAGAGAGUGAUAGGAAAACAAGUUGACUACUAAUUAGAGAACUGUGUCCCUUGACUUUAUAUAUUUUAAAUUUAUUGUAUUUUAUUAAUUUAUAAGUGUCUGGGUGAUCUGCCUGCUUUUAUGUCAGUGUACCAUUUGCAUUUCAAAUGCUCACAUAAGCAAGAAAAUGGCAUUGGUUCCUCUGGGACUGGAAUUACAGAUAGUUAUGAGUUACCAUGUGGGUACUGGGCAUUGAACCUGGGUCCUCUGGAAGAGCAAGUGCUCUUAAUCACUGAGACAUCUCUGCAGUCCAUCCACAUUGUUUAAUACACAUUCAGAGAGGCCUUGUGUUUUAUUACAUCAGCUAAAAUGGAUAAAGUGGAUAAUAAAGAGCAAACAGGGGCAUGGUAUGACAUUGAAUCUAGGGUCAUACAGUUAAGAGCUGAAACAGAUUUCUAAUAACAGCACUACCCCAGAUUCGACAGAAAUGCCAUCCUUUUUCUAAGUUCAACAUAAAUGCCACAGACAAACAUUAGUCUAGCAGUAUUUACCUUUAUAUACUAAUUCACCUUGCUAAGAUUUAUGGAGAUCAAAUUAUAAAGAAAUCUUGAAAUGUCUCAGUACUUAUAGCCUACUCACCUUGUGGAAUAUUUUUAAUGGGGUUGCUGAGAUUCUUAUUUCUAAUUCCAUGCACUUGCCAUCAGUCUUCUGUGUAUGAUACUCCAUACUUCUGUAGCUCAGAACUCCUAACCAGGACAGGACCACAGUAGUCUGCCACAUCAACAUUUAGUUAACCAAAUGGCGAGAUGAAAGUCAAUUAGUUUGGUGCUGUGAACCAUUUGGGCCUAUGAUGUGCCUGUGCCUAGCAUAAUGAUUUAUUGUGGGAUAAACAAAAGAACCCUUCUGAGGACUUGCCUUUUGGUACAGAGGCUCUAUAUUUGUUCCACCUCGGUUUAAUGUUUGAGGAGAAUCACUCAAGGUUAUUUCCUUUCUUUUUUUAAAGUCAUUCAUGGAAGCAGAUAUUUGACCCAAAAGUUACAAAUGUAAUUCUACUUCCCACCCUAAGUUUCUUAGCCUAUUGGUUCAAUCCCCACCCCUCCCCAUCAUGCUCUCAGUCUUGUGGACAGUCUAGUGCUUGAAAUAAACUUAUGACCCUGAGAGUUCCAAUUUUUCCUUAGCUUAUUUAAACUUUUCAUAGGCUUCUUUCUAUCAGCGUCCCUACCCUUCGUAAAACCUGUUUUGAGCAUGAAUGCUAGGAAAGUUUCAAGUGUAAAUCAUUUCUUGGUGGUGUGUAUCUUCUGUCCUCUAAUAUUUUUCAUAGCCAGGGAUUGCCUUUGUGUUUUUCAUGCUGCCCUGCACUGGGACAAAUGACUGAGAAAAACAACACAAAGAAGAAAAUUUUGUUCUGGUUCACAGGUUCAGAGGUCUCAGAACAAAAUCCGUGUGCUUCAUUUUUAUGGUUUCCUGGUGAGACAAAGCAUACUAACAGCCAGAAUAUGUGGAGAUGGAGACUGCUCCCUUCUCUACUAUCAGGAAGGAGAGUGCCAUGCAAAAAGGGGCCAGAGCCAACUCAUAUCCUUCAAAGGCAAACUCCUCGUAUGCCUGUGCCUUCAACUAGGCCUCCACUUCCACAGGUCUAGCACCUUUAGAUUCAUUAAAAUUUUAAAUUUAUCAAUGCAUCAUACCAAUCUUUGGAAAAGAGCCCCCAAGAUCUACUGUUUUCUGGAGAAGCUCUCAAUGUCACACUCAGAAAGCAUGAUAUGCGAAACCUCUAGGUGUGUCUCAACAUCAAGUUCAUAGUCAAUGCUAACUGUCUUCACCUUUUACUGGGGACAUCCUUUUGAUAUGUGAUCACUAAAAGGAGUGCAUCAUUUCCCAGUGCCGGCAUGAGGGUGGGAGGUCAUCUUUGAUAACUGCUACUUAGCAACACAGAUGUACUAAUUGCAUUGACUGACACCACACAUUAAAAUUCCUUCCCAAUAACUCACAUAAGAUCUUAAGAUUCUUUCUUUUUUUAAACCACCUUAUCAUUAUCUCAGUGGAGUUCAAUUUCUUCCUUCUAUCCCAUAGUUCUGAAUAGUCUCCUCUGUCUAUCAGUGGUGAAAUUUUGCUUUGACACUCUCUCCUUUCUAGACAUAGCAGUACAGUUUUAAAGAUUUAUUUAGUUUUAUUGUAUGGGUAUUAGUGUUUUCCCUACAUGUGUGCGUGUACUGCCAUGUACGUGCCUGAUGACCAUAGAGGCCAGAUGAGGACACAGAGUCCCCUUAAGCUAGAGUUACAGAUGGUUAUAAGCAGCUUUAUGGGUGCUGGGAACAAAGCCUGAGUCCUCUAAAAGGGAGGAAGUGAUCAUCACUUGCAGAGUCAUCUCUCCAUCCUCCAGAGCUGUAUUUUCAAAUCCAGUGCCUUUGGGCAAGACAAGGGCUCUGCUCUGCAUUUAUGCUCUUGGUCUCUAUUUAAGUCUUCUUACAACUUGAGCAGCAUCAUAGGUGCAAUUUUUCUAGAUAGGUUUGUAUUCUGUUUAUGAAGGUGCUUCCUACCAAUUUUAAUGCUAUUUGUCCUAUAUUCAAAUAGAUUGUGUUUAAUACCCUUCAAUCAAUUAGUAGUGAUAUUUAAAAUUUUUACUCUAUUUGUGUGUACUAUUAACUCAUGUUUUAUGGGGGAUUUCAGAUUGGUACAGUUAACAUAAGACAAAUAUAAAUAACUGUAAGUUGUAUUUAUUUUACCAUACAUAUUUCUUGUUCAUGGUUUUGCACAUUUUCAUUUAUUAGAAUUUCAGUAAUAAUGGUGAGUGGUGAUAGAAACAAAAUUUCCCUCCUUAUUUAUGUCUUGUCUUAGCAGCACCUUUUUCAUAUCUCCUCAGAAUCUCAUUACUGGUUUUGAUAUUUUUUGUGAAUUUAAUAUAUUAUCUUGGCCUUUAAGUAUUCUUUCAUUUUUUUUUGGGUUUAGCUGAAAGGAUGCUAGUGAUAAUAAUUUUGGCAUCUAUUCCUAUGAUCUUCCCUGUCACUUUUUCAUUUGGGUCUACUGUUAUUAGGGUCUGUUUGAUUACUUGUUCAAAUCUCAUAUGAGUUGAAAUUUUCAAUGUUAUUCUAAGUCAGGUAUUCUAACACUUUUCUAUGAUGUCUUUGUUUAUUUCAAAGUUGAUUUUAUAAUUACUGUGUUAUAUAUUUACAAUUUAAGCAGUUUUACUACUUUCUACUUUUAUGCCUAAACACACACACACACACACACACACACACACACACACACACACACACACACACACACGGAGGUCUUAUUUUAUUUUUAAGUAUCCACAGUCUGAGCUUUGGAUUUCCAAAUGUUUUCUAUUUAUUUAUAUUAUUUAUCUUCAGUUUCAGAUUGUUGUCACUUACAUCUUCUUUGUUGGAAUACUCCUAAUAUGCAUCAUGUUUAAUGGUUUAACGUGAGCACUCCUUUCAAAUCACAAAUUCCUCAUCAAAUUAUCUAUGCUUUAUUUUUGCUUUUAUCUGGAGACAGAAUUUCAAGGACUGGCCAAGAUAAGUUUAGAACUCAUUGCGUAGAAGAGACUGGCCUUGAGUUUCCUUCAAUUCUCUUGCCUCAGUUCCUGGAGUGCUAGGAUUGCGUGUUUGAGCGACUGUGCUGGCUUACAUUGUCUAUGCUAUAUAAAUGGCAUGCUCCUAUGACUGGACAUGUACCCAAUAACAACUGAAUGAAAAAUCUGGCAUGUAUUUUAGCACAUUGCCCUCAUGCCUCCACCACUGCUUGUUUUAGUUCUGCUUCUUUGCUUGCUUUUCGUUAGCCUUUUAAUGUUGGAGAACAUAUACUAUUUUUGUUAUAUGGAAGAUAAACUUUUUUAUUGUCCUCUUGUUCCUUGAGGAUUUUAAACUUCUAUAGCAUGAAAUGUGAUCAUACCCAAGCUUCAUUUUCUCCUUCCAACCACCCGCCAUGUGCAAUAUGCUUCCCAAUACAUCUCUGUCCAUGCAUCAUGUCUUCAGUGUGUAUGUGUGUGUGUGUGUGUGUGUGUGUGUGAUGACACAUUGCAUCCAAUUAUGUGUUUUAUUCUUAUAUUUAAACUCGGUUCUUAUAGUAAUCUAAAGUCGUUCAUCUUUCAGUGAGUAAUUUUCUUUAACCUAUUUACACAGACUUUUAUUUAUUUUUAAUUUUUUGUCUAAAGCAUCUGAAUACUUUCUUGUUAAUAUUUGAUCCUCCCCAAGCAGCAGAGCAGCAGCGUCACAUCUGUGUUGAAAGCAUGGGUUUUGGAAUCAGCCCACCUUGCCUUGGGUUGCAGCUUGACUAUUGAUAUUCCCACCCCACAGUUCAGUGUCUGAGGCUCCCUGUCUCUCUCUGCCCUCAUGACAGUUCUGGCAUCAUGGGCAAUAUAGAGGUAUGAUAACAAUCUGAGCUAUCAUAGGAAGACCUUGGCAUGGGUCAAGUGUUCCACAAUGUCCUUGUUAAAUUCACCUUAUUGAUAUUUCUCCUCUUAUUUCCCCCUCUUCAUUCUGGGAAAAAUUCUGCAGGUUUUUAUCUCCUAAUUCCAUUUUUUUUUCAAGUCAGUAACUCUCUCCAGUAAAUCUUGUGUGCAUUUUACCCAAACUUCUGCAAUUUUAGUUUUAUUGCAAUCUUUCCCGAUCUCACUUAGAUGCUUUUUUCAUCUCCACGUAUUGACUUUAUGUCUCAUCUCAUUUUGUUUUGUUUCCAAGCUGGCCUGCUCUUUCCUCAUAUCAUUGUCCUAUUGAAUAACAUCCUGAAUUUGAUUUAAUGUGGCAUUUUCCUUGCAUCUGUAGCUUACUGUCUUGUAGAGUCUUCUUCUUUUCAAGAUGAUGUAUGUUUCCUUUUCUCUUUUAGGAUUUUUCAUAAAAGCCUUAUUGUUGCUAUGCCCUUCAGCUUAUGCCAUUUGUGUCUUGAUAGAUAAAACCAUGCCUAUACCAAAUGGUGAUGUCCCUUUGGCUUUUGAAACAUUUCUGUAUGUGUGUUGGUUUGCAAACAAGUCCUUAUUAAAUGUAAAUACUGACAAUAGUGUAGUAUCUGAGGGUACUAACUUCUACAAAAAAAAUCUGCUUAUUUUAAAGCUUUCUGAAGUAUUGGUUGGUAAUUAUUCCAAACAAAAGAAUAAUAAAAUAAAAUGUCUAACUUCAAAUAUGUGCUAUUAAAAUAAUAUUUUAUAUUUUUCCUAAGAAAGGGCUUUGAUUUAUGAAAUUUUAUUUAUCAAGUCCCAUAUUAUCUUUAAAGUGCAUAUAGACUGAUAUUUCAGUGAACCCUUUUCCCUGGCUAUAGAGAGAUAUUGGAUGGAAUAUCCCACAUUUCUUUUCAUCUUUAAGAUUUUUCAUAAAAUCUUUAUUGUUGCUAUAGUCUUCAAUUUAUACUAUUUGUGUCUUAAUAGAUAGAACUAUGUCUAUACCAAGUACUUAUUAAUCAUGUGGUGAAUGAAUGCAGUGCUAUGAUAAUGGAAAGCUUUCUUUAUUUCCAGGUUCUAGAAGAACCUCAGGAUCCUUAUCUACCUAAUGUUGGAUUUAUUAUUUACCUAGUGCCAUUUCAUAAAAAUACCCUAAAACAACAAAUUUAACUUAGCUUUCACUUUUGCAGGUCAGUAAUCUGGGCUGGGCUUAUAUGAGAAUGUCUUGUUUUGCCUGGACUCAAUGAGGCUGGCUUCUUCUGCCGAAGUUCACCUGGUCUAAUUGGAUUUCACUGAGGACCACUCAUUGCAUCCUAUUCAUUCUCUCACUGAACAGCAGCCUAGACAAAAUUCAUUUACGUGGUUGGUCAUAAAGGAUUAAAGAAAGCAGUUCUUAUUCCUAAAUGGGACAUUUAUAUCAACCCCUUCCUGCAUCAGAAAACACCAUGGAAGCAGGGACAGAAAGGGUGUUAGUAUGAGAGGAUAGAGAGAGGUGCUGAAAAGUGUCUUCAGGACAUGAUAUGACGGUGUACCUACAAACUCACUGCAGCUGUAGUUGUCUUCCCAAGGUCAGCACAAGACUGGGACCAUCAGCAGUUCAUCACAGGUUGAGGAGGGCCCCACUUCUUCAUGAGGGACUAUUGGCAGUUAAUGGUUACUGAUGGAACAGAAGGAAUAAAUAGAAACAUACACGAGAAAAAAAAGACAACAGAAGAGGAAAAGUCAAUCCAAAAGAAGACACACAAGAGAUGAAAAUCUUAUAAACACAAAAAUAGCUCAUCCUUUACAUGUAAUUUAACAUGUUCAACUUUUACACAUCUGAUUGGAAAGAGUAGACAAGUGAUUUCACCCAUUGCUGGCGAAAUUCUAGAACCUCAUGUUUUUCUGCUAUGGACAAUGGAUGGACUUGAACUAAAGAGUAGUCUUUGCAAUGGUGCUUAAUUUUAUUCGUUGCUAAUACUGAUUUUGUUUUUAAGAGCACAUAUCUUUCAACAUCUACAAGUCUAUCCUAAACACACACACUUAUAUGCAUAUGUAUUUUUUUAUCAAGUUAUACAUAAAUUUUUUAACCUGAAAGCUUACUGAACUUCUCAGUUUUUUGAGAUAUUUGAUUUUUGCUAUGAAAGCAUUUUAUCUUCAAUGAGAUAAUAUAAAUCUCUUUUUUUUCUGUUUGGAUGCCAUUAAUCUGUCUAUCUAUCUAUCUAUCUAUCUAUCUAUCUAUCUAUCUAUCUAUCUAUUUAUGUUCCCCCCUACCCCUUAUUGCUUGGGCUAUGACUUGGACCCCUGAACUGAAUAUGAAUAGUCAAAGUUGACACCUCUGAUUUAUUGCUGCAUUCCAAGGAAACACUUUCAUCUUUUCUUCAUUUACUAUGCUGUUCCUGUGGGCCUGUCAUUUAUGACCUUUGUUAUAUUCCUUGUUCCUAAGGUUAUUAUGUCAUAAAUGCAUAUUAAACCUUAUUAAAUACUUUGCUAUAUUUAUUGUAAUAAAAAUGAUUAUUAUAAUUCA
Molecule: long non-coding RNA, 7627 nt
Organism: Peromyscus californicus insignis
Lineage: Eukaryota; Metazoa; Chordata; Mammalia; Rodentia; Cricetidae
Exons: 5
Source: RefSeq, a predicted model, not a curated record